GUGAGUGUGUCUGGGGGAACGAUCGAACAAGGAAUGAGGAGGGGGAAACCCUAAACUCAAGAAAUCAAGCAAUUGAAGCCUAAAAUCAUAAGAAAAUCCAGUGCAUGAGCCAUCUUAUCGAUCAUCUAAGCAUACCUAGUGAAGUGCUUGAAAGAAUAAGAACCAUGUCAAGAUGGACCAACUCAUGGGAAGCAAACGGGUCAAAGAGGAGGCAAAGAAACUAGCAUAAACAUGACGAGCACAAGGUAAGUGAUUUCUAUAAUCACUUCUUUAGUUGUUUAAGUAAUAUAAUGUUUUAAUUAUUAAGUUCAUAUGAAGUUGAGGUCAAAUCAAUAGAUUAUUUUGAUAAAUGCACGAAUGGGUCGAAUAAUUCAUAGAUAAAUAACAAGCCGAAUACGUAUAAGUUAAGAAAUUCCUUAACUCGGAUGUUGGACUUCAAGGUCACAUGAUAGAAUAUUAAAUUACAAUCAUAUAGGAAGAAACGUGACGCAAAACGGAUGAAAAAUGAGAGAGUUAUGUCCGUUUCGGUAAGGAUUAAUGGCUAGGAAAAGUGCAGAGUUGACACGGCCGGGUGGUGAACUGACACGGCCGGGUGAAGGUUCUGUCAAAAAUAUUAUUUAUGUGAUUUAUGCGCCGUAGGUUGCGGUAUAUUAUCCGUGAAUUACGACGGGCCUCCCAAACAUGAUUUCGAGUGUUUCCUUGACGAUUAUAAGUUGUAAACCCAAGUCUAAGCCUCAUGUAAUUUAUAUAAGAGUGUGUUAGAUGUAUGUAAUGAGGUUGGACAUGUAUUACAUGUAAAUGUAUACAAAAAUACGUACGGAACACGUAGGUAUGAAUACAUGAUUGUAGGUAUGAUUAAAUGUAUUUUAGGUAUGUAGAUGUGUAUGAUUGUAAGAUUGUAUGUGUGCAAGUAUGUGCGAAUGCAUGAUUUGGAUGCAUUUGAGAAUUAGCGUUACUAAUAAUGCCCUUGGGUUUGGAAUAUAAGUUAAUUGGAUGCAUUUAAAUGGUUGACGUCCUUUUUAUGAAGAUGUAGUAAAUGAAUAUGUUGAGAUUACGGGUUUGGCUAACCAAGUUAUUAUUGAGUAUGUUUGAAAGUGCAGGUUAUGAAUGUCGGACUUUCAAAGUGUUGAUAUAAUAAUGAAACGGUUGAAUCUUGAAAGGAUAAUCGGAUUGAAGUAACUUAUGCGGUUAGAAUAUGCUGUGGACGUUUUAGUUUAUACAACAUUUUAUGUUUGGUCGUCAUCAUCUACCAACGGGUUAGUUGUUUGAAAAUAUAUGUCAUACCCAUUUAAUUGGGUAAUCGAAUGCGCGAGAGAAAUGAAAGUACAUACACGAAUGGAACUAAAGUGACGGUUUUAUAAGUAAAUAAGUAAAUGACUAACUUUUUAAAGCUUUGUUGUUGAAUGUAGGUAAAUCCUCAAUUCAGGCGACUUGGAGAAUCGGAGCGAGCGCGUGUUCAUGUUAUGUCAUACCAAACGCUUCCGCUAGCUUGUUCAAAUGUUUUUAGUCCAAAAUUUGUUGUAUUGGUUCUUAGUAGUAUUUUGUCGAAUGAAUCGUAGAAUUGUAUCUAGUUUGAUUAUGUUUAAAACAGGGGAAUGCUCGUUUUAUGGACGGGUCAUGCCCAAUUUUUGUUAAAUUAAUGCACCUGCGUUAUUGAU
This 1658-nucleotide long non-coding RNA is filed under the name Helianthus annuus (common sunflower). RNAcentral's name for it is "hypothetical non coding rna". The record is from RNAcentral. Lineage: Eukaryota; Viridiplantae; Streptophyta; Magnoliopsida; Asterales; Asteraceae.